Molecule: long non-coding RNA, 1900 nt
Filed under: Toxoplasma gondii VEG
Lineage: Eukaryota; Apicomplexa; Conoidasida; Eucoccidiorida; Sarcocystidae
Source: RNAcentral
GGCGCGCCGGCUCCACCGUCUUCUCACCUUGGAUUGCUUCUGUCUUCUUGGAGGCAAAGAACGACAAGCCAGCCAAGUUGCGAGACGAGAGGAAAGAGGGCAAAGCGCCGACGGAGACAGGAGCUGAACGCGGGAGAGGAGCGACGACGGAAUUUGCAUGCGCGAGAGUCCCCUGACCCACCCAGCGAGCACCGAGGCGAAGCUGCCUGGCGGCGAUCGGAGACGCGAGGAAGGACGCAUCCGGCUUCUUUGAUCGAUUCGCCCUGAAGAUCGACGCGAGCAGCGUCAUCUUUUCGUUGUUGGAGAUCUGCGAGAAAGAGGAAGGUGCCCCCGAAGACGGGAACCGAAGUGCGGCGGGAGCCCUCAUGGUGGGUGUCCGAGACAUGCGCUUUUUCUUAAAAUGGAUCCCUGUUUUUGCCUGAGACUGUGCCGCACAAAACGGGUACAUACACGGAAGGACUGCCGAACAACAGAGAGGCGCGCCGAGCAGAGAAUGCUUCACGAUUCACAUUCCGCACAGCGAGGAGAGGCGCAGAGGGACGUGUGUGCGCAGGCGAGGAGAGGUUCAAGGAGCUCUUGUGGGCAAAGCGAACUUCUGUUCUUUCGGCAGCGAAGGUCUUCCAAAACGGAACGAGAAACACAUCAGCCUGGUAGUCCCAGGAACAAUGCACUGGUGUUGGGCAGCGGCGAAAAAACUCGAGAAGGACACCCAAACUCGUCUCUAUCAGAGGACGAUUUGCGUCCCGGGGAAAGACUGAUCUACAGGACGAGCACAGAAGAAUGAAAGACGACGCUUCUGACCUGCGAUUUUGAGAGGCAACUGGCAAAAGACCCCCGCCGCACAACGUCUUGCGUGUGUGUCGCGAAAAAUGUGCAGGCGCAUGCAGAAUCGAAAAAUCCAAGUCCCUCAGAAGCGCGUUCGAGGGCGUGACCCCUCUUUCGUGUUCGAACUCGACUUGAGGCAAAGCCUCUGUCUAUCGUCACACUAAAGCAGAGCAUCAAAAGAGAAGGCUGAGAGAGGCGCAGUUGUUUCGGAUUGCAAAGGGAAACACCGCGAAAGCGAAAGGGUUGUCUUUGCAUGCGCGCAUCGUCGGUGGAGUUGAAAUGAAAGACCUGGAGAGCCACAGAGACACACCCGCGCAGCGUCGCACGCGGGCUGAAAGAGUCUUCUACUCCCUGAAGAGAGACUCGUGGAAAUGUCUGUAUCCGUGGCAGAUGCACAGACGGCGAAGCUGUGCUACACUGACGGCUGCCGGCGCCUACUAAUUUAGUGCAGAAUGUGAGGGAACGAACUUCCCCGGCACACGUACGAUUCUCGAGUGGACGUGUUCGAUCAAAAGGACGGAACACUGAAGAAAGCAAAAGUCAAAAAGGGAACCCCUAAAACGCCGUCCGGCCAUUCGAAUCCUCAGAGUGCUUCGAGGCGUGCCGAUCCGCUCUCCUGGUGUACAUACACCCGACGAACAGCAAUCACUAGCAGGCUUCUGCAAAUCAGAAGUUUCUUUCGCGCCCCUCUAAACCCUGCCUCCGUGUCUUGUUGACAAAAGUGUGCAGCCUGUUUGAUGCACUCGCUGCUUCUGCUCCCCUCUUCAUCUUCCAGAAGCUCCCGUCGUUUUUGUGAGUUCCCUAGGUUAUGCAUCUGUUCUGGCGCGAAGUUAAGGGGGAAUUCGGCAGUCGUCGUGUCCCAACAAGGCGGUAGCAGAGAUCCGAGUAUCAUUGGUGAACGCUUUAAAAAAGGAACGCCAACCAACUUGUGUUCCUCCUAACGAGUCUCUGUGUGUACAAGGGGGGGCUGUAUGUUCGAGGUUUUCCGCGUGGGAACAACACCUGAGAAACACGACUUUCCUGAAGUGUGCGUGGGGGCAUGUGCUGCCUUCAGAGGAGGUCUGCAUUUGGGCGG